ACGAAACAUUUGACGUUGACGAAACGAAAUGUCGGUUUCGUCAAGAGCGAGUCGAUGGGCAAGCUUUGCUAGGCUUUGACAGUGAGCUACUCAAAGAAUGCGGGUAACUGAUCGCAACGUGGCUUGAUGAAUUCUUCAGAACGCGCUUACUGAAUCCUUGCUCGACGUCUCCCAGAGUCAGAUUUGUUGGACAUCGUUCCAAGCUCCUUAGAGCCAUUAGACAAUUAAAGCAGCAAAGCAGCAGUCAUGAGAUAUGCAGAAAGUGGU
RNAcentral lists this non-coding RNA (267 nucleotides) under Gloeochaete wittrockiana. The record is from RNAcentral. Lineage: Eukaryota; Glaucocystophyceae; Gloeochaetales; Gloeochaetaceae.